RNAcentral lists this ribosomal RNA (252 nucleotides) under uncultured bacterium. RNAcentral's name for it is "partial 16S ribosomal RNA". It matches the Rfam family "Bacterial small subunit ribosomal RNA", at positions 57 to 305 of the family's 1533-position model. The record is from RNAcentral.
GCAAGUCGAGCGGUAACACAAGGGAGCUUGCUACUUUGCUGACGAGCGGCGGACGGGUGAGUAAUGCUUGGGAACAUGCCUUGAGGUGGGGGACAACAGUUGGAAACGACUGCUAAUACCGCAUAACGUCUACGGACCAAAGGGGGGGAUCUUCGGACCUCUCGCCAUUUGAUUAGCCCAAGUGGGAUUAGCUAGUUGGUGAGGUAAUGGCUCACCAAGGCGACGAUCCCUAGCUGGUUUGAGAGGAUGAUC